AAAAGUAUAUAACUCGUAAACUAGCAGUUUAGCUUAAGUUAGGGUGUAUUCACACCAGGAAAGUCCGCUAGAUCACUUGCUUUGGUUUGGACGCAAUACAGUACAACGUUGUUUUUUUGUUUGGUGCAGUUCGCUUUCACGCUGUCCUUUUUGCAAGUGAACCAAGAACUGUAAACAAAACCAUAAGUGUGCUUGAGGUCAUCCAUUCAUUGGUUCAUCCAUUUAUCCAUACGAGAGUAUGGUUAAAAAGUAUCCAAGAUGGCGGCGCGUCCACACGCAGCGGCUUCUCUCUGUCCCGACAGAACAGUGUUUUCGUGUUUUUUGUCUUGUGAGUCGCAGUGUUUUUGUACGUCGUCAUCGCGUCUACCUGUCUUUAAGCAGGAAGCAGAAGAGGGGUAAGCGCGGAGGUAUCCGGGCUAGGCUAACGGCUAACCCACACAAGCCAUCUAUCCCCACCAUUGUACUGGCUAACGUACGCUCUUAUAAUCUUAAUAAAUUGGACUUCAUCCGAUUAAUACAUUCAACUCAGAGGAAUGUAAGAGACUGUUGUGUUUUUAUGUUCAUGAAAACAUGGCUUAGCAACAGCAUUCCAGACUGCGCUAUUCAGCUCGACCAGCUGAUGUGCUAUCGAGCGGACAGAGCUCUCGUCGCAGGAGGAAAAACCUGCGGCGGCGGGCUUUGUGUUUACAUCGAUGCGUGGUGCCGCGAUGCUGUUGUGAUCUGCAAACACUGCUCACUCCUGGUGGAGAUUAUGAUUAUUAAGUGCCAGCCGUUCUAUCUGCCGGGGGGAAUAUACUGCCAUACUUCUCGUUUCGGUUUACAUUCCCCCGAACAACAACAACUGCAACAGGAACAAUGCACUAAAUGAACUGCACCAGUACAUCAGUGAGCAGCAGACAGCACACCCUGAUGCUUUUCUCAUCAUAGCUGGGGAUUUCAACCAUGCUGACUUAAAGAGUGUGUUUCCAAAAAUACACCAACAUAUUAACUUUCCAACAAGAGGUAAAAACAUUUUGGAUUGCGUUUACAUCACACAGAGAGGAGCUUACCACUCAGCACUCACACAUAUAGACAAAAAGGACUCAUACAUCAGAAUGCGGUUCAUAGACUUCAGUUCAGCAUUCAGCACAAUCAUCCCUCAACAGCUCAUUCACAAACUGUUCGAGCUGGGGCUCAACACUUCGCUGUGCAACUGACUGUUGGAUUUUCUGACUGGAAGACCUCAGGCAGUACGGGUCAGCAGCAACACAUCCAGCACCAUCACACUGAACACUGGGGCCCCCCAAGGAUGUGUGCUGAGCCCCCUCCUCUUCACUCUGCUGACCCACGACUGUACACCGUCACACAACUCCAACCUCUUCAUUAAGUUUGCGGAUGACACGACUGUGGUGGGUCUCAUUAGCAACAGAGAUGAGACAAACUACAGGAGCGAGGUGAGCCGCCUGGCCGGGUGGUGCAGUGACAACAAUCUCUCUCUGAACGUGAAGAAGAUGAAGAAGAUUGUUGUUGACUUCAGGAGAGCGCACACUCAGCAUGUUCCUCUGACCAUCAACGGUGCGACUGUGGAGAGAGUGAGCAGCAAGUUCCUGGGUGUGCACAUCACAGAGGACCUCUCCUGGACCGACAACACCGCAGCACUGGCCAAGAAAUCACAACAGCGUCUCUACUUCCUCCGCAAACUGAGGAGAGCCAGAGCCCCACCCCCAUUAUGUACACCUUCUACAGAGGCACCAUCGAGAGCAUUCUGACUAGCUGCAUCACUGGGUGGUAUGGCGCCUGCAACGCGUCCUGCCAGAAGACUCUGCAACGCAUAGUGAGAGCAGCUGAGAAGAUUAUUGGCGUCUCUCUCCCCUCCCUCCAGGAAAUUUACGGAAUCCGUCUCACUCGCAAAGCCCUCUGCAUCAAUGGUGAUCCCACCCACCCGUCACACAGCUUCUUCAGUCUGCUGCCAUCAGGGAGGAGACUGCGGAGUCUCCAGGCCAGGACCAGCAGACUGAAGGACAGCUUCAUCCAUCAGGCUGUCAGGAAGCUGAACUCGCUCCCGAACUUGCCCCCCGUCCCUCUUAUGCCCCAGGCACCACUGAACUAUGAACCCCCCCCCCAAGAUCCCACAUCCCCAGG
Molecule: long non-coding RNA, 2121 nt
Organism: Cyprinus carpio carpio
Lineage: Eukaryota; Metazoa; Chordata; Actinopteri; Cypriniformes; Cyprinidae
Source: Ensembl